Hibiscus syriacus is the source of this 107-nucleotide small nucleolar RNA. NCBI's taxonomy places the organism in Eukaryota, Viridiplantae, Streptophyta, Magnoliopsida, Malvales, Malvaceae. The record is from RefSeq and is a predicted model, not a curated record.
AAAUUAUGUAUAGGACACUUCCACAACAAAUCCUUAAAUCUUUCCAAUGCUUCAUACAAGCUUUCAUCAUUCAUCUGCUUAAAUGAAUUCAAUCCAUUUCGAAGCUU